RNAcentral lists this ribosomal RNA (120 nucleotides) under uncultured bacterium. RNAcentral describes it as "partial 16S ribosomal RNA". It matches the Rfam family "Bacterial small subunit ribosomal RNA", at positions 796 to 914 of the family's 1533-position model. The record is from RNAcentral.
CACGCCGUAAACGAUGGGUACUAGGUGUAGGAGGUAUCGACCCCUUCUGUGCCGUCGUUAACACAAUAAGUACCCCGCCUGGGGAGUACGGUCGCAAGACUAAAACUCAAAGGAAUUGAC